CACAAACGCUAAUUACUCUCUCCUCAUUUCUCUCUACACCAUUCUCUCUCUUUCUCACGGUGAUCGGCUCCCCUCUCCUCUCUCCAUGCCCAUCUCUCUGUCUUACAUCACAGUAGUAGGCUUCCCGUUUCCAGCCCCGUCUUCAUCACCGACAAGUAGUGGACGAGAUUUACAAUUUACUGGCUAUUGAAGGUCGAGAUUACGGGAGAAAUUGAAUUCAAUGGUGAACGAGAUAAAGCAAGCUCAUCAUCGACCUAAAGAGGAAAUCCCAUCCAAAGCUACAAGGCUAUAUUGCCAGAGUCAUUAGAUAUACAGUGCUUGGAAUCGAACAAGAAGUCUCAGGCUUUUCGAAAGAUAAAGUAUUUCACCCCAUGCCUGACCAAAACGAAGUAAUUGCUCAACAAAAUUGUUACGUUCACUGAUUUUUGGUAUUUGGGUACUUGGUUGGAGAUGAUUGUAAUAUUUGCUGUGACGAGGUGGCGGUGCCUUUGGCGAUUUUUGGAUCUAACUUUUGGUGUUUAGUAUUUGGUUGGUGGUGGUUGUCAUGUAGGCUACGACGGUGAGGUGGUGGUUUUGUUGGCGGUCUGAUGAGUUGGUGGUGGUCGUAUUGGUAAGGCGCGGC
This 622-nucleotide long non-coding RNA is filed under the name Olea europaea subsp. europaea. The record is from RNAcentral. Lineage: Eukaryota; Viridiplantae; Streptophyta; Magnoliopsida; Lamiales; Oleaceae.